GCAUAUCAAUAAGCGGAGGAAAAGAAACCAACAGGGAUUGCCCUAGUAACGGCGAGUGAAGCGGCAACAGCUCAAAUUUGAAAUCUGGCUCUCGGGCCCGAGUUGUAAUUUGUAGAGGAUGCUUUUGAUGCGGUGCCUUCCGAGUUCCCUGGAACGGGACGCCAUAGAGGGUGAGAGCCCCGUCUGGUUGGAUGCCAAAUCUCUGUAAAGCUCCUUCAACGAGUCGAGUAGUUUGGGAAUGCUGCUCUAAAUGGGAGGUAUAUGUCUUCUAAAGCUAAAUACCGGCCAGAGACCGAUAGCGCACAAGUAGAGUGAUCGAAAGAUGAAAAGCACUUUGAAAAGAGAGUUAAAAAGUACGUGAAAUUGUUGAAAGGGAAGCGUUUAUGACCAGACUUGGACUUGGUUAAUCAUCUGGGGUUCUCCCCAGUGCACUUUUCCAGUUCAGGCCAGCAUCAGUUUUCCCCGGGGGAUAAAGGCGGCGGGAAUGUGGCUCUCUUCGGGGAGUGUUAUAGCCCGCCGUGUAAUACCCUGGGGGGGACUGAGGUUCGCGCAUCUGCAAGGAUGCUGGCGUAAUGGUCAUCAACGACCCG
Molecule: ribosomal RNA, 590 nt
Filed under: Fusarium subglutinans
Lineage: Eukaryota; Fungi; Ascomycota; Sordariomycetes; Hypocreales; Nectriaceae
Description: LSU rRNA
Rfam family: Eukaryotic large subunit ribosomal RNA
Source: RNAcentral